GAUGAACGCUGGCGGCGUGCCUAAUACAUGCAAGUCGAGCGAACAGAUAAGGAGCUUGCUCCUUUGACGUUAGCGGCGGACGGGUGAGUAACACGUGGAUAACCUACCUAUAAGACUGGGAUAACUUCGGGAAACCGGAGCUAAUACCGGAUAACAUAUUGAACCGCAUGGUUCAAUAGUGAAAGGCGGCUUUGCUGUCACUUAUAGAUGGAUCCGCGCCGUAUUAGCUAGUUGGUAAGGUAACGGCUUACCAAGGCAACGAUACGUAGCCGACCUGAGAGGGUGAUCAGCCACACUGGAACUGAGACACGGUCCAGACUCCUACGGGAGGCAGCAGUAGGGAAUCUUCCGCAAUGGGCGAAAGCCUGACGGAGCAACGCCGCGUGAGUGAUGAAGGUCUUCGGAUCGUAAAACUCUGUUAUCAGGGAAGAACAAAUGUGUAAGUAACUGUGCACAUCUUGACGGUACCUGAUCAGAAAGCCACGGCUAACUACGUG
RNAcentral lists this ribosomal RNA (497 nucleotides) under uncultured bacterium. RNAcentral's name for it is "partial 16S ribosomal RNA". It matches the Rfam family "Bacterial small subunit ribosomal RNA", at positions 28 to 507 of the family's 1533-position model. The record is from RNAcentral.